RNAcentral lists this ribosomal RNA (1328 nucleotides) under Pseudomonas sp. T5-6-I. RNAcentral's name for it is "bacterial SSU rRNA". It matches the Rfam family "Bacterial small subunit ribosomal RNA", at positions 53 to 1363 of the family's 1533-position model. Lineage: Bacteria; Pseudomonadati; Pseudomonadota; Gammaproteobacteria; Pseudomonadales; Pseudomonadaceae. The record is from RNAcentral.
ACAUGCAAGUCGAGCGGUAGGUCCUUUGGGGUACCGCAGAGGCGAAGAGGUGAGUAACACCUGGGAAUCUGCCCUGAACUUAGGGAUAAGACUGGGAAACUGGAUCUAAUACCGCAUAUGACCUUCGUGAGAGAGGAGGGGAAGAUCAAUCUGUGGGUGAUCAGAUGAGCCUGGGUCGGAUUAGCUAGUUGGUGCGGUAACGGCUCACCAAGGCGACGAUCCGUAGCCGGUCUGAGAGGGUGAUCUGCCACACUGGGACUGAGACACGGUCCAGACUCCUACGGGAGGCAACAGUGGGGAAUCUUCCACAAUGGGCGAAAGCCUGACCCAGCCACGCCGCGUGAGUGAAGAAGGUUUUCGGAUUGUAAAGCACUAAAGGUUGCCCUAGAGGAAGGGCAUUAACCUAACACGUCUUGUGUGUGACGGUACAGACAAGAUAAGCCCCGGCUAACUAUGUGCCAGCAGCCGCGGUAAUACAGAGGGGGCAAGCGUUAUCCGGAAUUACUGGGCGUAAAGCGCGCGGAGGUUAAUUUGUUUAGUUGGAUUUGAAAUCCCGGGGCUCACCCCCGGAAUCCAUUCAAAACUGACUUACUUGAGUAUGGUAGAGGGGGGGGGAAUUUCCUGUGUAACGGUGAAAAGCGUAGAUAUAGGAAGGAACCCCAGUGGCGAAGGGGACCACCUGGGCUGAUAAUGACACAGGGGUUCAAAAACGUUGGGAGCCCACAGGAUUUGAUACCCUGGUUGUUCACGCCGUAAACGAUGUCCCACUUGCCCGUUGGGAAACCCUUUAGCUUUUAGUGGCGCUAGCUACCGCAAAAUAUAUUCCCCCUGCGGAUUACGGCCGCAAGGUUAAAACUCAAAUGAAUUGAUUGGGGCCCGCACAGGCGCGGUGGUUUCUCUGGUUUAUUUAGAAACAACGCGAAGACCCUUACCAGCCCUUAAUUCUCCAAUGAACUUUCUACCGAUAGAUUGGUGCCUUCGGGAACAUUGAAACAUGUGCGGCAUGGCGGUCGUCAGAACUUAAUGUGAGAUGGUUGGGUUAAGUCCCGUCACGAGCGCAACCCUUGUCCUUAGUUAUCAGGCCAAGAAAGGGUGGCCACUAUAAGGAGACUGCCGGUGACGAAACUGGAGGCAGGUGGGAGAUGACGCCAAGUCAUCAUGGCCCUUACUGCCUGAGGCUACACCCGUGCUACAAUGGUCGGUACAGAGGGGCGCCAAGCCGCGAGGUGGAGCUAAUCCCACAAAACCGAUCGUAGUCCGGAUCACAGUCUGCAACUCGACUGCGUGAAGUCGGAAUCGCUAGUAAUCGCGAAUCAGAAUGUCGCGGU